Molecule: ribosomal RNA, 301 nt
Filed under: uncultured bacterium
Lineage: Bacteria
Description: partial 16S ribosomal RNA
Rfam family: Bacterial small subunit ribosomal RNA
Source: RNAcentral
CAGUAGCCGCGGGAAUACGGAGGGUGCAAGCGUUGUCCGGAUUUAUUGGGUUUAAAGGGUGCGUAGGCGGCCUAAUAAGUCAGUGGUGAAAGCCUCCAGCUUAACUGGAGAACUGCCAUUGAUACUGUUAGGCUUGAGUAUACUUGAGGUAGGCGGAAUUGACAGUGUAGCGGUGAAAUGCAUAGAUAUUGUCAAGAACACCAAUUGCGAAGGCAGCUUACUAAAUUAUAACUGACGCUGAGGCACGAAAGUGUGGGUAUCAAACAGGAUUAGAUACCCGGGUAGUCCCUGUCUCUUAUAC